CUCAGAUUGAACGCUGGCGGCAGGCCUAACACAUGCAAGUCGAGCGGUAGCACAGAGAGCUUGCUCUCGGGUGACGAGCGGCGGACGGGUGAGUAAUGUCUGGGAAACUGCCUGAUGGAGGGGGAUAACUACUGGAAACGGUAGCUAAUACCGCAUAANGUCGCAAGACCAAAGUGGGGGACCUUCGGGCCUCAUGCCAUCAGAUGUGCCCAGAUGGGAUUAGCUAGUAGGUGGGGUAACGGCUCACCUAGGCGACGAUCCCUAGCUGGUCUGAGAGGAUGACCAGCCACACUGGAACUGAGACACGGUCCAGACUCCUACGGGAGGCAGCAGUGGGGAAUAUUGCACAAUGGGCGCAAGCCUGAUGCAGCCAUGCCGCGUGUGUGAAGAAGGCCUUCGGGUUGUAAAGCACUUUCAGCGGGGAGGAAGGCGUUAAGGUUAAUAACCUNNNCGAUUGACGUUACCCGCAGAAGAAGCACCGGCUAACUCCGUGCCAGCAGCCGCGGUAAUACGGAGGGUGCAAGCGUUAAUCGGAAUUACUGGGCGUAAAGCGCACGCAGGCGGUCUGUCAAGUCGGAUGUGAAAUCCCCGGGCUCAACCUGGGAACUGCAUUCGAAACUGGCAGGCUAGAGUCUUGUAGAGGGGGGUAGAAUUCCAGGUGUAGCGGUGAAAUGCGUAGAGAUCUGGAGGAAUACCGGUGGCGAAGGCGGCCCCCUGGACAAAGACUGACGCUCAGGUGCGAAAGCGUGGGGAGCAAACAGGAUUAGAUACCCUGGUAGUCCACGCCGUAAACGAUGUCGAUUUGGAGGUUGUGCCCUUGAGGCGUGGCUUCCGGAGCUAACGCGUUAAAUCGACCGCCUGGGGAGUACGGCCGCAAGGUUAAAACUCAAAUGAAUUGACGGGGGCCCGCACAAGCGGUGGAGCAUGUGGUUUAAUUCGAUGCAACGCGAAGAACCUUACCUGGUCUUGACAUCCACAGAACUUUCCAGAGAUGGAUUGGUGCCUUCGGGAACUGUGAGACAGGUGCUGCAUGGCUGUCGUCAGCUCGUGUUGUGAAAUGUUGGGUUAAGUCCCGCAACGAGCGCAACCCUUAUCCUUUGUUGCCAGCGGUUAGGCCGGGAACUCAAAGGAGACUGCCAGUGAUAAACUGGAGGAAGGUGGGGAUGACGUCAAGUCAUCAUGGCCCUUACGACCAGGGCUACACACGUGCUACAAUGGCAUAUACAAAGAGAAGCGACCUCGCGAGAGCAAGCGGACCUCAUAAAGUAUGUCGUAGUCCGGAUUGGAGUCUGCAACUCGACUCCAUGAAGUCGGAAUCGCUAGUAAUCGUAGAUCAGAAUGCUACGGUGAAUACGUUCCCGGGCCUUGUACACACCGCCCGUCACACCAUGGGAGUGGGUUGCAAAAGAAGUAGGUAGCUUAACCUUCGGGAGGGCGC
RNAcentral lists this ribosomal RNA (1438 nucleotides) under Klebsiella variicola. Its description in RNAcentral is "bacterial SSU rRNA". It matches the Rfam family "Bacterial small subunit ribosomal RNA". The record is from RNAcentral. Lineage: Bacteria; Pseudomonadati; Pseudomonadota; Gammaproteobacteria; Enterobacterales; Enterobacteriaceae.